CUUGAAUAUGGUAAAGAUGAAGAGCUGUUAGAAAAAUGUGCAAAGCACAAGAGCCAUGACCCCUGCGCAAGGAUGACACGCAAAUUCGUGAAGCAUUCCAUAUUUUA
This 107-nucleotide small nuclear RNA is filed under the name Cavia porcellus (domestic guinea pig). Lineage: Eukaryota; Metazoa; Chordata; Mammalia; Rodentia; Caviidae. The record is from RNAcentral.